RNAcentral lists this ribosomal RNA (496 nucleotides) under uncultured bacterium. Its description in RNAcentral is "partial 16S ribosomal RNA". The stretch from base 54 to 496 matches the Rfam family "Bacterial small subunit ribosomal RNA", at positions 39 to 506 of the family's 1533-position model. The record is from RNAcentral.
GGGGGGGGGGGGGGGGGGGGGGGGGGGGGGGGGGGCGGGGGGGGGGGGGGGGGGCGGGGGGGUCGGGCGGGGGCGGCGGGCGGGUGGGGAACACGGGGAGAACGUACCGAUGAGACUGGGAUAACUUCGGGAAACCGGAGCGAAGACCGGAUGAGAUAUUGAACCGCAUGGUGCCAUAGGGAAAGACGGGUUGGCUGUCACUUAUAGCUGGACCCGCGCCGCAUUAGCUAGUUGGUAAGGGAACGGCUUACCAAGGCGACGAGGCGUAGCCGACCUGAGAGGGUGAUCGGCCCCCCGGCAACUGAACCACCGCCCAACCUCCUCCGGGAGGCAGCAGUCGGGAUUCUUCCCAAAUGGGCGAAAGCCUGCCGGAGCAACGCAGCGUGGGUGAUGAAGGUCUUCGGAUCGUAAAACUCUGUUAUUAGGGAAAAACAAAUGUGUACGUCACUAUGCACGUCUUGACGGUACCUAAUCAGAAAGCCCCGCCUACCUCCGC